AUACGGAGGACGCGAGCGUUAUCCGGAUUCAUUGGGUUUAAAGGGUGCGCAGGCGGCCGUGCAAGUCAGCGGUGAAAGCCCGGGGCCCAACCCCGGAAGUGCCGUUGAUACUGCAUGGCUUGAAUGCGGUCGAGGCGGGCGGAACGGGGCGUGGAGCGGGGAAAUGCGUAGAUAUGCCACAGAACGCCGAUAGCGGAGGCAGCUCGCCAGGCCUGCAUUGACGCUCGGGCACGAAAGCGUGGGGAUCGAACAGGAUUAGAUACCCUGGUAGUCCACGCCGUAAACGAUGGGCGCUCGUCGUCGGCGGCAGACAGUCGGCGGCCAAGCGAAAGCGAUAAGCGCCCCACCUGGGGAGUACGGUCGCAAGGCUGAAACUCAAAUGAAUUGACGGGG
RNAcentral lists this ribosomal RNA (393 nucleotides) under uncultured bacterium. Its description in RNAcentral is "partial 16S ribosomal RNA". It matches the Rfam family "Bacterial small subunit ribosomal RNA", at positions 523 to 918 of the family's 1533-position model. The record is from RNAcentral.